This is an RNA transcript of Carlito syrichta (Philippine tarsier), 953 nucleotides long. It is a transcript of the gene named dnaJ homolog subfamily A member 1-like, with no coding region annotated. Lineage: Eukaryota; Metazoa; Chordata; Mammalia; Primates; Tarsiidae. The transcript has 4 exons. The record is from RefSeq and is a predicted model, not a curated record.
UUUUCAGAACGCUUGGUGAGAGGUGGAGGAGCAGUGGCUGCCCGAGCUGCCCACAGCUGUGUUCUCCUUCCUGCUGCCCCACGCUGGCCUCAGCCUGAUCACUGGCUGUAGAAAAUGGUGAAAGAAACCACUUGCUAUGAUGUUUUGGGGGUCAAACCCAAUGCCACUCAUGACGAAUUGAAAAAGGCUUAUAGGAAACUGGCCUUGAAGUACCAUCCUGAUAAGAAUCCAAAUGAAGGAGAGAAGUUUAAACAGAUUUCUCAAGCUUAUGAAGUUCUCUCUGAUGCAAAGGAAAGGGAAUUAUAUGACAAAGGAGGAGAACAGGCAAUUAAAGAGGGUGGAGCAGGUGGAGGUUUUGGCUCUCCCAUGGACAUCUUUGAUAUGUUUUCUGGAGGAGGAGGAAGGAUGCAGAGAGAAAGAAGAGGUAAGGAUGUCAUGCAUCAGCUUUCAGUAACCUUAGAAGAUUUAUAUAAUGGUACAACAAGAAAACUGGCUCUGCAAAAGAAUGUGAUUUGUGACAAAUGUGAAGGCAGAGGUGGUAAGAAAGGAGUGGUAGAGUGCUGUCCCAAUUGCUGAGGUACUGGAAUGCAAAUAAGAAUUCAUCAGAUAGGACCUGGAAUGGUUCAGCAAGUUCAAUCUGUGUGCAUGGAGUGCCAGGGUCAUGGGGAACGGAUCAGUCCUAAAGAUAGAUGUAAAAGCUGCAAUGGGAGGAAGAUAGGAAGAAGAAGAUCCUAAAAGUUCAUAUUGACAAAGGCAACCAGGUUGCCGCAGGCCAGUCUCACCUGCUCAGCCUCAGCUUGUACAUCACCAGGAUGGGUCAACCCAGUGACCCCAUGAGCUGCAUGCAAGAGCCCCCCCCCCCCACCCUGCUGGGCCCCUGUUGGAAGAUGAAGGCUCUGGCCCCGCUGGUGUCUGGGGAGCUCUGCCUUCCACUUGAAAGCGGGAAUGAUUAA